GUGUUCAAUCAUAAUAUUUCUUGUUAAUGGUGGUGAUUAGGAAUUGGGCAUGAAUCAAAUCCAUAGGCAGAGAGAGAUUCCUUCAAAGAAUUGGGUAUGAGUUUCAUUUCAUUUUUACAUUUUUCUCUUAUUGAUCUUCACAAAAUGAGAUUUCUCUAUACAAUAGCCUGUCAACAACUUCCAACCCUUUGUACUUCUCUAAACAGUAUUAUGCAGGCACAUACCUGUUGGUGAAGAAAGAUUCCAUUUUUGUCAUACAACGUUUGAAACCACUUACUACAACUCUUCCUGCUUCAAUACAUCUAUCUUUAUAGUCCAAUGGUCACCAAAAGGCUAUUAACUCCAGAAUCAGGAGGGCGCCCAGGAUAGUUGACAUUGAAAUCCAAUUUGCAAUGGCAGAAUUUGGUAGGUAUGGGUAUUCAUCAGGAAGUGGCAUCAUACAUUCAUCUCCAUUGAAGUAGACUUUCCUUGGAAAAGCCCAUCCCUGAUUAAAUGUGAAUGUGUUCGUAUCCUUCUCAAGAAUCAAUUCUGACUGCACAUUUCCAUCUGGUCCGGCUUCCAUUAGGACAUCAUUAUAGAAUUUUAUACCAUAAAACAUUCCUGAGUCGUCUGCAUAUUCAAUUCAAUAUAGAGCAUUAGAAUUAGCCUAAUUAGCAGAUUCUUCAGUUGCAUGGUUUGCCUACUGAUCCUGCAGAAAUUCUACUAAUAGGAAAGCUAUUCAGGAAUUUUUUUUGAGGGAAGUUCUUAUGGACUU
This 754-nucleotide unclassified non-coding RNA is filed under the name Hevea brasiliensis (rubber tree). Lineage: Eukaryota; Viridiplantae; Streptophyta; Magnoliopsida; Malpighiales; Euphorbiaceae. The record is from RNAcentral.